CCUACGGGUGGCAGCAGUGGGGAAUAUUGCACAAUGGGGGAAACCCUGAUGCAGCGACGCCGCGUGGGUGACGAAGUAUUUCGGUAUGUAAAGCCCUAUCAGCAGGGAAGAAGAUGACAGUACCUGACUAAGAAGCCCCGGCUAACUACGUGCCAGCAGCCGCGGUAAUACGUAGGGGGCAAGCGUUAUCCGGAUUUACUGGGUGUAAAGGGAGCGUAGGUGGCAUGGCAAGCCAGAAGUGGAAACCCGGGGCUUAACCCCGCGGAUUGCUUUUGGAACUGUCAGGCUGGAGUGCAGGAGGGGCAGGCGGAAGUCCUGGUGUAGCGGUGAAAUGCGUAGAUAUCAGGAGGAACACCGGUGGCGAAGGCGGCAUGCUGGACUGUAACUGACACUGAGGCUCGAAAGCGUGGGGAGCAAACAGGAUUAGAUACCCUAGUAGUC
Molecule: ribosomal RNA, 441 nt
Filed under: uncultured bacterium
Lineage: Bacteria
Description: partial 16S ribosomal RNA
Rfam family: Bacterial small subunit ribosomal RNA
Source: RNAcentral